GAUCAUGGCUCAGGAUGAACGCUAGCUACAGGCUUAACACAUGCAAGUCGAGGGGCAGCAUGGUCUUAGCUUGCUAAGGCCGAUGGCGACCGGCGCACGGGUGAGUAACACGUAUCCAACCUGCCGUCUACGUCUUGGACAGCCUUACUGAAAGGAAGAUUAAUACAAGAUGGCAUCAUGAGUUCACUAUGUUCACAUGAUUAAAGGGUAUUCCGGGUAGACCGAUUGGGGG
RNAcentral lists this ribosomal RNA (232 nucleotides) under uncultured bacterium. RNAcentral describes it as "partial 16S ribosomal RNA". It matches the Rfam family "Bacterial small subunit ribosomal RNA", at positions 15 to 231 of the family's 1533-position model. The record is from RNAcentral.